UAGGGANUCUUCCGCAAUGGACGCAAGUCUGACGGAGCAACGCCGCGUGAGUGAAGAAGGUUUUCGGAUCGUAAAACUCUGUUGUUAGAGAAGAACAAGUGCUAGAGUAACUGUUAGCGCCUUGACGGUAUCUAACCAGAAAGCCACGGCUAACUACGUGCCAGCAGCCGCGGUAAUACGUAGGUGGCAAGCGUUGUCCGGAUUUAUUGGGCGUAAAGCGAGCGCAGGCGGUUCCUUAAGUCUGAUGUGAAAGCCCCCGGCUCAACCGGGGAGGGUCAUUGGAAACUGGGGAACUUGAGUGCAGAAGAGGAGAGUGGAAUUCCAUGUGUAGCGGUGAAAUGCGUAGAUAUAUGGAGGAACACCAGUGGCGAAGGCGACUCUCUGGUCUGUAACUGACGCUGAGGCUCGAAAGCGUGGGUAGCAAACAGGAUUAGAUACCCUGGUAGUCCACGCCGUAAACGAUGAGUGCUAAGUGUUGGAGGGUUUCCGCCCUUCAGUGCUGCAGUUAACGCAUUAAGCACUCCGCCUGGGGAGUACGNNNNCAAGGUUG
Molecule: ribosomal RNA, 550 nt
Filed under: uncultured bacterium
Lineage: Bacteria
Description: bacterial SSU rRNA
Rfam family: Bacterial small subunit ribosomal RNA
Source: RNAcentral